RNAcentral lists this ribosomal RNA (977 nucleotides) under Sinodendron cylindricum. RNAcentral describes it as "partial 16S rRNA". The stretch from base 376 to 977 matches the Rfam family "Archaeal large subunit ribosomal RNA", at positions 1423 to 2688 of the family's 2987-position model. The record is from RNAcentral. Lineage: Eukaryota; Metazoa; Arthropoda; Insecta; Coleoptera; Lucanidae.
AUUUAGAAGAGUUAAGAGAUAAUAAAUUUUAUUGUAAAAUAAAUAUUUAUAAUUAUUUUUUAGUAAUGAAACGUUAGUCGUUUCUAAUUAUAUCUGGUUUUCUAAGAAAUUAAUUUAAUUAAUUAUUCAUAUAAUAAAUUUAAUAUUUAGCUAUUAAGUUUUUUAUGAGUAAAAAUCUUUCAAGGGAUAAGCUUUGAAAGAUAUUAAUAUAAGAUAGAAAGUUUUACAAAUUUUAUAUGAUUAUAAGUUUUAACUAUUAAGAGUGUGUUAUAACUAAAUUUGUAUUGAUUAUAUUUAUAUUAUUUUUAUGUAAUUUAUUUGAAUUUUAAUUUUAAUAAGUUAUUUUAUGUAAUAAUGAUUGAAUUAGUAUAUGUAAUUGUAUAUCUAAUAAAAGAUGUUAGAUGAUGUAAAGGAAUUCGGCAAAUAAAUUUCCGCCUGUUUAUUAAAAACAUGUCUUUUUGAUGAUGAUUUAAGGUUUAACCUGCCCACUGAAUAUUGAAUGGCCGCGGUAAUUUGACCGUGCGAAGGUAGCAUAAUAAUUAGUUUCUUGAUUGGGAACUGGAAUGAAUGGUUGGACGAGAAAUUUUCUGUCUCUGUAUUAUUAUUAGAAUUUUAUAUUUAAGUAAAAAAGCUUAGAUUUAUUUAAAAGACGAGAAGACCCUAUAGAGUUUGAUAUUUAAUUAAUUUUUAAUAUGUGGGAUUAUUAGUUUAAUUUUAAUACUAUAUUUUGUUGGGGUGAUAGAAAAAUUUAAUUAACUUUUUUUUUUUGUUAUCAUUAAUUUAUGAAUCAUUGAUCCGUUGUUUACGAUUAAAAGAUUAAAUUACCUUAGGGAUAACAGCGUAAUCUUUUUUGAGAGUUCAUAUCGAAAGAGUGGAUUGCGACCUCGAUGUUGGAUUAAAAUUAAUUAUUGGUGUAGAGGCUAAUAAAUUAGGUCUGUUCGACCUUUAAAAUUUUACAUGAUCUGAGUUCAAACCGG